UAUCCUACGGGACGCAGCAGUGAGGAAUAUUGGUCAAUGGGCGGGAGCCUGAACCAGCCAAGUCGCGUGAGGGAAGACGGUCCUACGGAUUGUAAACCUCUUUUGCCGGGGAGCAACGGGGUCCUUGCGAGGGCCCAAUGAGAGUACCCGGAGAAAAAGCAUCGGCUAACUCCGUGCCAGCAGCCGCGGUAAUACGGAGGAUGCGAGCGUUAUCCGGAUUUAUUGGGUUUAAAGGGUGCGUAGGCUGUUGGAUAAGUUAGAGGUCAAAUGUCGGGGCUUAACCCCGUGCCUGCCUCUGAUACUGU
Molecule: ribosomal RNA, 305 nt
Filed under: uncultured bacterium
Lineage: Bacteria
Description: bacterial SSU rRNA
Rfam family: Bacterial small subunit ribosomal RNA
Source: RNAcentral